Molecule: ribosomal RNA, 429 nt
Filed under: Actinomycetes bacterium
Lineage: Bacteria; Bacillati; Actinomycetota; Actinomycetes
Description: Actinobacteria bacterium partial 16S ribosomal RNA
Rfam family: Bacterial small subunit ribosomal RNA
Source: RNAcentral
UAGGGAAUCUUCCGCAAAGGGCGAAAGCCUGAAGGAGCAACGCCGCGUGAGUGAUGAAGGGCCUCGGAUCGUAAAAACCUGUUAUUAGGGAAGAAAAAAUGUGUAAGUAACAAUGGACGUCUUGACGGUACCGAAUCAGAAAGCCACGGCUAACUACGUGCCAGCAGCCGCGGUAAUACGUAGGUGGCAAGCGUUAUCCGGAAUUAUUGGGCGUAAAGCGCGCGUAGGCGGUUUUUUAAGUCUGAUGUAAAAGCCCACGGCUCAACCGUGGAGGGUCAUUGGAACCUGGAAAACUUGGGUGCAGAAAGGGAAGGUGGAAUUCCAGGUGUAGCGGGAAAUUGCGCAGGAAUAUGGAGGACAACCAUUGGCUAAGCCGACUUUCUGGUCUGUAAUUGACCCUGAUGUGCGAAAGCGUGGGAAUCAAACAGG